RNAcentral lists this ribosomal RNA (119 nucleotides) under Neogale vison (American mink). Lineage: Eukaryota; Metazoa; Chordata; Mammalia; Carnivora; Mustelidae. The record is from RNAcentral.
UGUCUACGGCCAUACCACCCUGAACGCGCCCGAUCUCGUCUGAUCUCGGAAGCUAAGCAGGGUCGGGCCUGGUUAGUACUUGGAUUGGGGGGGGGGGAGAAAUCUACACAAAGUGAUAA